This is a non-coding RNA of Salmo salar (Atlantic salmon), 1785 nucleotides long. The record is from RefSeq and is a predicted model, not a curated record. NCBI's taxonomy places the organism in Eukaryota, Metazoa, Chordata, Actinopteri, Salmoniformes, Salmonidae.
AGAAGAAGAAGAAGACACUUUCCCUUCAUCGGAUCAUUGUUUAAAUCACAAGGACAGAGAGUUACAGAGUAUGAACCCUUGGACAUGCAGGUACCUCCUGGCAGGCAACUCUCAACAAGAAGCAGCAGCAGUGGAUUGACCAGACGCUGUUUACCAGUAGCUGCCUACAGAGCUCACAGUUCAUCACUGUCCUUUCCCUGGUGGGGUGAAGACCAGAAGAGGGUGAUGUCCUUCCUGUCUUCAAGGCCUGCCUCAGAAAGUGCUGGGUACCCAACCAGGAGCUGCCUACAGAGCUCCCAGUUCAUCACUGUCCUUUCCCUGGUGGGGUGAAGACCAGAAGAGGGUGAUGUCCUUCCUGUCUCCAAGGCCUGCCUCAGAAUGUGCUGAGUCUCCUCUACUCUGACUGAGAAAAGGCCUCCUCAACUGAAGAAUCUACAGCUGCUGAGUCUGAGGUGUUAAUCAGUCCAGUGCUGCUCUGACCACAGUGUUGUUAGGAACCACAUUUUCUAAUGCUACAUACACAGCCUUGUGUCAACUCUUACUGUGAACUACUUCAGUUACUGGAAAUAAACUCAGCAGUGAUCAGACUACAGAAUACACCAAGUUGUACACAUCUUCCUCCAUUUCAUUCAGUUGUACACAUCUUCCUCCAUUUCAUUCAGUUGUACACAUCUUCCUCCAUUUCAUUCAGUUGGACACAUCUUCAUCCAUUUCAUUCAGUUGUAAACAUCUUCCUCCAUUUCAUUCAGUUGAACACAUCUUCCUCCAUUCCAUUCAGUUGGACACAUCUUCCUCCAUUUCAUUCAGUUGGACACAUCUUCCUCCAUUUCAUUCAGUUGGACACAUCUUCCUCCAUUUCAUUCAGUUGUAAACAUCUUCCUCCAUUUCAUUCAGUUGUAAACAUCUUCCUCCAUUUCAUUCAGUUGUAAACAUCUUCCUCCAUUUCAUUCAGUUGUAAACAUCUUCCUCCAUUUCAUUCAGUUGGACACAUCUUCCUCCGUUUCAUUCAGUUGUAAACAUCUUCCUCCAUUUCAUUCAGUUGGACACAUCUUCCUCCGUUUCAUUCAGUUGUACACAUCUUCCUCCAUUUCAUUCAGUUGUAAACAUAUCUGUAAUGUAUGUGAGGCCUUUGAGACAUCAUACUAAAUAUGUUGACUAGCUGGUCAUGGGAAAUGCAAGUGUUACUUCUUUGAGUUUUUGAGUCAGAGUCGCUAAGCCUUGUGGGAUAUUAAUGAAUGUGAACUCAGCAACCGUAAUUCCAGAACAGUCCCUCUGUUGUAAUAGUGUGAUGUGUAUCUUCUGACAGACUCUAUGCUGAGUAAAGUCAUGUUUUCAUCCUAAAACGUUUUUCUACCAGCACCAAAGUGUGGAUGCAGUCACUAUUUAGAGCAGUCUAAUCUCAUUAACCCAGAACUAUAAUAUUGUGUGAUUCAGUUCUGGGUCCAUACCUGUUAGAAACUACAGGAGGUGAGUCACAUGUUAUUAGUUACAGCAGUUUCCAUGGAAACAUACAGAGGGUUUUAUGCAAAUCAACCCUUUCUGACUUGACAUCUGAAGGAGGAGUCUCUGAAAACCUAUUUAAAGCAGUCUGUCCUGACUCAGCUCAGCAGUCUCCAGUCUACCAACUGGUCUCUGUAAUAACUAUUUAAAGCAGUCUGUCCUGACUCAGCUCAACAGUCUCCAGUCUACCAACUGGUCUCUGUAACUUCAUCUUUGUCUCUGUGGUGUUCAGUCUUCAGGUGACGAUGGGGUAUUGAAUCAUCUCUCUACUCUCCUCCUUCUCUC